CCUACGGGAGGCUGCAGUGGGGAAUUUUGGACAAUGGGGGCAACCCUGAUCCAGCCAUUCCGCGUGAGUGAAGAAGGCCUUCGGGUUGUAAAGCUCUUUUGUCCGGGGCGAAACGGGCGGCCCUAAUACGGUCGUCUACUGACGGUACCGGAAGACUAAGCACCGGCUAACUACGUGCCAGCAGCCGCGGUAAUACGUAGGGUAUGAGUGGUCGUCGGGAGUACUGGGCGUAAAGCGUGCGCCGGCUGUGAAGUCCCCGGGCUCAACCUGGGAAUGGCAUUUGGGACUGCAAGGCUGGAGUGUUGCAGAGGGGACUAGAAUUCCUGGUGUAGCAGUGAAAUGCGUAGAUAUCAGGAGGAAUACCGAUGGCGAAGGCAGGUCCCUGGGUUAACACUGACGCUCAUGCACGAAAGCGUGGGGAGCAAACAGGAUUAGAUACCCCAGUAGUC
RNAcentral lists this ribosomal RNA (449 nucleotides) under uncultured bacterium. RNAcentral's name for it is "partial 16S ribosomal RNA". It matches the Rfam family "Bacterial small subunit ribosomal RNA", at positions 338 to 795 of the family's 1533-position model. The record is from RNAcentral.